Non-coding RNA from Biomphalaria pfeifferi, 613 nucleotides. NCBI's taxonomy places the organism in Eukaryota, Metazoa, Mollusca, Gastropoda, Planorbidae. The record is from the annotation of a GenBank genome assembly.
UGACUUUAAAAAAAAUAUUACUUAAAUAGCAUUAUAAAACAAUAGGAUGGCAUUCUUGGUUUGAGCCGCGAAUAAAAUAUUUUUAAACUACACCUAGAAAUGUGGCUCAUGACACAAGUGUCUGAAAUUAAAAUGACCUGUAGAUCAAAUUAGGUUGGGCAUCACUGAUAGGAAUCAAUUUUAAAAAAUGAACUAAAUAAUGGUACUUAACUCAAUUAUUAUGAUAUAGGAAAGAGAAAUCAAUUUAACAGUAUGGAAAUAUAUGGCUGUAAAUGUGUUAUUUCCCUUACACAAGCUUUUUUAAAAGUAUCUCUUAUAUUAUUUCUUGUGUGUAGUGUCAGUUUGUCAGCCUUGGAAUGUAAGUAAAGUAAGUGGGAAUCAGAGUCUUAAGGAUGAGAAUGUAAUGUAUUGUCCUGGUUGAAGCUAAAAGACAUGCCACCAAUAAAUUCUAAUUUUAUUCAUAGUAUGAGUUACCCCACAUUCAUUUUAGUUGUGUACUCUUCAGGAGUGUGACAUUCUUUCCUCAUUCGAGUACAUUGUUUUAUUUGUACAACUGUAGUGAACAUGUUCGCUUUCCACAGAUUGAUCUAUUAAAUUUGUUUUUAAAGAUAAU